GAACGCGUCCUUCGGGAUGAGUGGCAGACGGGUGAGUAACACGUGGGAACGUACCCUUUGGUUCGGAAUAACUCAGGGAAACUUGAGCUAAUACCGGAUACGCCCUUUUGGGGAAAGGUUUACUGCCGAAGGAUCGGCCCGCGUCUGAUUAGCUAGUUNGUGGGGUAACGGCCUACCAAGGCGACGAUCAGUAGCUGGUCUGAGAGGAUGAUCAGCCACACUGGGACUGAGACACGGCCCAGACUCCUACGGGAGGCAGCAGUGGAGAAUAUUGGACAAUGGGCGCAAGCCUGAUCCAGCCAUGCCGCGUGAGUGAUGAAGGCCUUAGGGUUGUAAAGCUCUUUUGUCCGGGACGAUAAUGACGGUACCGGAAGAAUAAGCCCCGGCUAACUUCGUGCCAGCAGCCGCGGUAAUACGAAGGGGGCUAGCGUUGCUCGGAAUCACUGGGCGUAAAGGGCGCGUAGGCGGCCAUUUAAGUCGGGGGUGAAAGCCUGUGGCUCAACCACAGAAUUGCCUUCGAUACUGGGUGGCUUGAGUCCGGAAGAGGUUGGUGGAACUGCGAGUGUAGAGGUGAAAUUCGUAGAUAUUCGCAAGAACACCGGUGGCGAAGGCGGCCAACUGGUCCG
This 626-nucleotide ribosomal RNA is filed under the name uncultured Alphaproteobacteria bacterium. RNAcentral describes it as "bacterial SSU rRNA". It matches the Rfam family "Bacterial small subunit ribosomal RNA", at positions 64 to 736 of the family's 1533-position model. The record is from RNAcentral. Lineage: Bacteria; Pseudomonadati; Pseudomonadota; Alphaproteobacteria.